This is a non-coding RNA of Arachis ipaensis, 3593 nucleotides long. NCBI's taxonomy places the organism in Eukaryota, Viridiplantae, Streptophyta, Magnoliopsida, Fabales, Fabaceae. The record is from RefSeq and is a predicted model, not a curated record.
CGUGUCAUAAGCGUUCUCUUUGAUCAAUUAGAAAACAUGUAAAAAGCGUUACUUUAGUAAAUUAAUCAAGCAACGCUUAUGGUCUUCAUAUAUUACCCUUUACGAAGGAUGCUUUUAAUUUUUUAAUAGACUUCUCAUUAUAAUCGUUGCCUAAAAUAAUUCAAUAUUUUCUUUUAAAAUUUUACGCUUCCCUCUAAAUAUUUUAAGCAGCACAGCAUACAUUCAUCACCUGGUUCACUCCUGUUACUAAAUCGUGAUACUCUUCUUUCUUCUUCUCUGUUGUCCUUGUUGUUGUUUUCUCUUUUUGCUGCUGCUGUUGUUAUUGUGGUUUGAGGAGCGAAAUUCGAUCUCAUAUGCUUUGUUCAUGUUGUGGCUCGCUUCGAUUUACCUCAUUUGUUACCGAAUUCAGUGAUUUCUUCACCGCCGUUAGGGAUCGAGCCUUCGAGUUUGUCCUGGAAGGUUCUUUCGAGUGGAUGCGCCAGCUCCAUGGAGGCUUGCUCGGGCGGCGCGUGAGUUUCAUGGUUGAUUGCGGAGGCGCGUUGGUCUCCGAUCUCUCCCAGACGAACGCUUGGACGGCGUUCAUAAUCAAAAUCAUGAAUAACCUAAAUCCCUAACCCCAACCCUAACACAAUUUCCCCAAUUUCACAACACUGAUGUGCGCAUUCUGCAUUUCUCUCUGCUCUGCCGAGUUCUGCUCUACUCCGCCGUGUUCUUCUGCUCCGCUGUGUUCUUCUCCUCGCAUCGAGUUCUGCUUUGCUCCACCAUGUUCUUCUGCUCGCGCCAAGAAAUUUCAUGUAACUCAAUUAGAUUACAGUAAGGCCAUCUGCAGAUAAAUGUGAGGCAGAGUUGUUAAGCAAGAAAUAUGAGGAGAAGUACAAACAUUGUAGCGGAAAUAACAUCCAAAUUGAUUGUUGAAGAAGCUAAAUUUCGUGAUAUACAGGUAAUUAGAAAUUUGCAUUAUUAUUUGGCAAGUAGUAAAAGGAAUUUAGGGAAGAAUGAAUUGUUAUUAGCCUUGCUUAAUGGAUGUAAAGGUAAUUAUAAAGGUAAGAAGAAUGAGAUUUUGCAGCGGAAAAGGAGAGAAGAAAAGGAUUUUUCUGUGGUCUGAGGUUCUUCUUGUGAGAAUUUUGCUCCUACUUAAUGGGUCUACUUAAAGAGCUUUUGUUUUUAGUAAUUGACUGUGUGGGAUUGGCUUGGUUUUUUCUAGUUUUGAAAUUUUGCUAAAAAUAAGCUUUCUUCAGCUGAUUUUUGUCCUCCACCCCCGGAAGGUAUGUUAUGUAUACACUCUUGUUUGCAUAUUCUUCCUUGUUCAUCUCCCUUUCUAUUCUCCACUGUUUUGGAGCUAGUUAUUGUUGCGUACCAGUGUUAAGGGGGGUGAAAAUGCUAUUCUCUUUUAGAUCUUGAUGGACUUUGGUUGCUGAGAAUUUUGUGUAUAUAAUCAUAUGGUUACAGGAGAAAAGAGGGACUGCACGGGGAUUCAGUUUAAGCCACCUGGGUGUUGGGUUCCACUUCCAUGGUUGAAGGUGGUCAAGUUAGCCAUCUUCACAUGCUUCUUGUGUUCUGCACUCUUCCUCUUAGUUGUCUUUUUUUGUCUUUACCUUUAUUUCAGUCAAUUCUUUUACUUUCACAAUUAAACUUUAUUAAUACCUACAAUUUUCCAGAUCUUAACUCUCAAUAUCUAUUUACUUUGGUAUUCUUCAACUAAAUGACUUUAUCUAUUAAUACCUACAAUUAAACUUAAUGUCAUUUCCAAAACAGUUUGUGAAAACAAGUUUUUGAAUAAAUAAUAUAUCUAUAAACUAUCUAAACAAAAUUAACUUUAUUUAUUACUUUUCUUUUUGGGGUGUCAAGAAACAAAAUUAACUUUUAAUAACAUCACUUUAGAAAUAGUGAGGAAUUAAUGGGAAUUGGGGAUGGUAUUUGUCGCCAAAAAAGAUAGUGCAAUUCUCAAAGUCUUAGAAGUCAUUUAUUAAAAAGAAAUCUUAACAAAACAUUAUUGUUCUUUCAUAGGCAUGCGUCGGUUUGCUUAGGUUAUGCAAUAGCCGUUAACUAGGGAAGGUCAUUUCGAAAUAGUCUUGGAGAAAAGCAUAUGAUUUUAUAACAUAUGAAUGAUUUUGAUGGACUUUCAUAUGGUUACUUGAGGGCCUUUGGUUACAAGAGAAAAACGCGUUUUGGAUUCAGAACUUUGGCAUGCAUGUGCUGGUCCCCUUGUUUCUUUACCAGCUGUUGGAAGCUGAGUUGUGUACUUUUCACAAGGUCACAGUGAACAGAAGCAUGCAAAUUGCUGAGGCUCUCCAAAUGCAAAUGGAGGUGUAGAAGAAACUUUAUGAGCAAAUUGAGGUGCAGAGACAUUUGCAGCUUAAGAUUGAAGCACAAGGGAAGUACUUGCAAUCAAUACUACACAAGGCACAAGAAACACUUGCAGGAAUGAUCAACAAUGGCAGCCCGGGAUCUCCUCCGAUUUCGGAACUGACAGAAACAAGAGGAGGGUUCAGUGGGAGCUGUGGGCAGAGGAAACAGAACAGAGGAGCCAUGUAUUCACUUGAAAUUUAAAGUUCUUUGACAUCUUCUGAAAGCUCAAUGGAUCAAAGGCCUAAUAGUACUAACACCACUAAUACUGCUUCACUUGAAUUGUUGCCACUCUUCAAAGAAUCUAAGGAACAAUAAGAUGAAUCUAUUAUUAGGAGAAAGAGGAGUUCAAGUUGCUUUGUUGAUCAGCCAUCAUAGAUGAUCAGAUCUGAAUUAUUAUAUAAAGUUGUGUUCUUCCAAGGAUGCCAGCUUCUCGUCAUCAUGGAAAAGGGUUUGCUUGCAACUUUCAAGCACCACACUCAGCUUCCCUCUCUGCUAAAGGACAAUGUUUAAAUUUUUAACAAGGAAAGAUGUGAGAAAGAUUCUCAAGCGUAAAGACAGUGAUGCUGGUGAAAAAGGUACUCCCUCCCUCCUUAAGAAAUUUGGGAGUUGAGUUUCAAGUGGUUCACAUUUCUUCUCUUUUUUAGCUGGGAUUGCUUUUCAAGUUGUUUUUUUCUUGCAUAUUUUGUCAUUUGGGGUUAAAUGGUAUCUUGUGGUCUUUGAUUAGUGAUUGAUGAAGGUUGCAUUGCACAACAGAGCUUCUAGAUGUUCCUGCUCAUUGAUUCUUGGUUGUUUAGGCAUGCCAUUGUACUUCUGAGCCGGUUUUGUUCAAAUAAUUGAUUUGGUGGAUUGCAAUUUCGUUUCUGUGCAGAUAGUUUGAGAUUUAAUGCAUGCUUUGGUUUUUGAGACUUAAUGCAUGCUUUUGUUUUAAUUAAUUCUGGGAGAGCUGUUUUUUGCAUAUUUUUUAAAUUUCAAGUCUUAUUAGAACACUUAUUAAACAUAUUAAAUAUUUAAAUGUAGAAAGUUUUAAUGAAAAAUGUUAACUAACUGUAAGCUUCUUUUUUUUUAUGUUUUCCACUAUUUUAACCAAUUUCUUUAAAGGACUAUUUAGCUGAAUUAUUAAAAAAUCAGCACAUACAAAAAUGGUUCAUUUACUCUACCAUGUACUAUCAACAACCACUGGUUGUCUGAUUCUGUUAAUUCAAUGUAAGUUUUUUUCACACACACAUGCAUAGCAAGCUAGUGUU